UACAGAGGUCUCGAGCGUUAGGCGGAAUCACUGGGCUUAAAGCGUGUGUAGGUGGAUCGUUAAGUACCUUGUGAAAUCCCACGGCUUAACCGUGGAACUGCUUGGUAUACUGGCGGUCUUGAGCCAGCUAGGGGCUACCGGAACAAAUGGUGGAGCGGUGAAAUGCGUAGAUAUCAUUUGGAACGCCAAUGGUGAAAACAGGUAGCUGGGGCUGUGCUGACACUAAGACACGAAAGCCAGGGGAGCAAACGGG
RNAcentral lists this ribosomal RNA (253 nucleotides) under uncultured bacterium. RNAcentral describes it as "partial 16S ribosomal RNA". It matches the Rfam family "Bacterial small subunit ribosomal RNA", at positions 524 to 776 of the family's 1533-position model. The record is from RNAcentral.